AAUAUUGGACAAUGGGUGCAAGCCUGAUCCAGCCAUCCCGCGUGAAGGAUUAAGGUACUAUGGAUUGUAAACUUCUUUUAUACAGGGAUAAACCUCUCCUCGUGAGGAGAGCUGAAGGUACUGUAUGAAUAAGCACCGGCUAACUCCUUGCCAGAAGCCGCGGUAAUACGGAGGGUGCAAGCGUUAUCCGGAUUUAUUGGGUUUAAAGGGUCCGUAGGCGGGCCGAUAAGUCAGUGGUUAAAUCUCGCAGCUUAACUGUGAAACUGCCAUUGAUACUGUUGGUCUUGAGUAAAUUUGAAGUGGCUGGAAUAAGUAGUGUAGCGGUGAAAUGCAUAGAUAUUACUUAGAACACCAAUUGCGAAGGCAGGUCACUAAGAUUUAACUGACGCUGAUGGACGAAAGCGUGGGUAGCGAACA
This 417-nucleotide ribosomal RNA is filed under the name uncultured bacterium. Its description in RNAcentral is "partial 16S ribosomal RNA". It matches the Rfam family "Bacterial small subunit ribosomal RNA", at positions 360 to 774 of the family's 1533-position model. The record is from RNAcentral.